Molecule: non-coding RNA, 73 nt
Organism: Paramuricea clavata
Lineage: Eukaryota; Metazoa; Cnidaria; Anthozoa; Malacalcyonacea; Plexauridae
Source: the annotation of a GenBank genome assembly
GACCGCGUAGCUCAGUUGGCAGAGCAUUGGGCUAGUAUUCCAAAGGUCGUAGGUUCGAUUCCGACCAUGGUCA